UACGGAAGGCAGCAGUGGGGAAUAUUGCACAAUGGGCGAAAGCCUGAUGCAGCUAUGCCGCGUGUAUGAAGAAGGCCUUAGGGUUGUAAAGUACUUUCAUCGGGGAGGAAAAAACAAAACUAAUAAUUUUAUUUCUUGACGUUACCCGAAAAAGAAGCACCGGCUAACUCCGUGCCAGCAGCCGCGGUAAUACGGAGGGUGCUAGCGUUAAUCAGAAUUACUGGGCGUAAAGAGCACGUAGGUGGUUUUUUUAAGUCAGAUGUGAAAUCCCUGGGCUUAACCUAGGAACUGCAUUUUGAAACUGAAAUACUAGAGUAUCGUAGAGGGAGGUAGAAUUCUAGGUGUAGCGGUGAAAUGCGUAGAUAUCUGGAGGAAUACCUGUGGCGAAAGCGGCCUCCUAAACGAAUACUGACACUGAGGUGCGAAAGCGUGGGGAGCAAACGAGGGAUUAGAUAC
Molecule: ribosomal RNA, 456 nt
Filed under: uncultured bacterium
Lineage: Bacteria
Description: bacterial SSU rRNA
Rfam family: Bacterial small subunit ribosomal RNA
Source: RNAcentral